This 354-nucleotide unclassified non-coding RNA is filed under the name soil metagenome. RNAcentral's name for it is "partial contains 5.8S ribosomal RNA, internal transcribed spacer 2, and large subunit ribosomal RNA". The stretch from base 1 to 120 matches the Rfam family "5.8S ribosomal RNA", at positions 35 to 154 of the family's 154-position model. The record is from RNAcentral.
GAUGAAGAACGUAGCGAAAUGCGAUAAGUAAUGUGAAUUGCAGAAUUCAGUGAAUCAUCGAAUCUUUGAACGCACAUUGCGCCCAUUAGUAUUCUAGUGGGCAUGCCUGUUCGAGCGUCAUUAAGUCCACUUAAGCCCUGCUUAGUGUUGGGAGACUGCUCCAGCGGUGCUACCCUGUAGCUACCCUGCAGCUCCUCAAAGACAGCGGCGGAGUUGUGGUAUCCUCUGAGCUUAGUAACUUGUUCUAGCUUUCGAGUACACCACUUCCCCUGCCGUAAAACCCUUAAUUUUUAAUGGUUGACCUCGGAUCAGGUAGGAAUACCCGCUGAACUUAAGCAUAUCAAAAGCGGAGGA